GGAAAACUAAUGACCGAAAUCUUUCAUUUUCCUUCUGAAUGUUUGGAUGUGAGUGCUAAUUUAUGAUUUAUCCACUGAUCUUGUUUUGUAUUUGUUAAUGAUGGAUUUGGAAUCCCCUUCCACUAUUACUUUUGUUAAACCCAACUCAAUCCUCGUGAGCAUGACUUCGAGAUAGGCGAGGGCUUCUACAUCAAAGGCCGUGUCAACCGCCGUGUGCAGACGAUAUUUAGAGACCAGAACUUCUCAUUUCACGUUUCGUGCCGCUAUUCCCGAAGCCAACUUAAAACCUUG
RNAcentral lists this long non-coding RNA (291 nucleotides) under Gossypium barbadense (sea-island cotton). RNAcentral's name for it is "long non-coding RNA (GBAR_LNC017688)". The record is from RNAcentral. Lineage: Eukaryota; Viridiplantae; Streptophyta; Magnoliopsida; Malvales; Malvaceae.